GGAAUCAUUGGGUUUAAAGGGUCCGUAGGCGGGUCUAUAAGUCAGUGGUGAAAGUCUGCAGCUUAACUGUAGAACUGCCAUUGAUACUGUAGACCUUGAAUUAGUAUGAAGUGGUUAGAAUGUGUAGUGUAGCGGUGAAAUGCAUAGAUAUUACACAGAAUACCGAUUGCGAAGGCAGAUCACUAAUACUAUAUUGACGCUGAUGGACGAAAGCGUAGGUAGCGAACAGGAUUAGAUACCCUGGUAGUCUACGCCGUAAACGAUGGUUACUAGCUGUCCGGCCUAAUUGAGGGCUGGGUGGUUAAGCGAAAGUGAUAAGUAACCCACCUGGGGAGUACGUUCGCAAGAAUGAAACUCAAAGGAAUUGACGGGGGCCCGCACAAGCGGUGGAGCAUGUGGUUUAAUUCGAUGAUACGCGAGGAACCUUACCAGGGCUUAAAUGCAGUCUGACGUAUCUGGAAACAGAUAUUUCUUCGGACAGAUUGCAAGGUGCUGCAUGGUUGUCGUCAGCUCGUGCCGUGAGGUGUCAGGUUAAGUCCUAUAACGAGCGCAACCCCUGUGGUUAGUUGCCAGCACGUAAUGGUGGGAACUCUAGCCAGACUGCCGGUGCAAACCGUGAGGAAGGUGGGGAUGACGUCAAAUCAUCACGGCCCUUACGUCCUGGGCCACACACGUGCUACAAUGGUAGGGACAGAGAGCAGCCACUUCGCGAGAAGGAGCGAAUCUAUAAACCCUAUCACAGUUCGGAUCGUAGUCUGCAACUCGACUACGUGAAGCUGGAAUCGCUAGUAAUCGCAUAUCAGCCAUGAUGCGGUGAAUACGUUCCCGGGCAUGUACAACAAGGUAACCAUGCCAGAGUUUGAUCCUGGCUCUGGAUAAGUCGUAACAAGG
This 891-nucleotide ribosomal RNA is filed under the name Zunongwangia profunda. Its description in RNAcentral is "bacterial SSU rRNA". It matches the Rfam family "Bacterial small subunit ribosomal RNA", at positions 547 to 1533 of the family's 1533-position model. Lineage: Bacteria; Pseudomonadati; Bacteroidota; Flavobacteriia; Flavobacteriales; Flavobacteriaceae. The record is from RNAcentral.